GGUCUAUGGAUCUUCUAGGUACUGCCUUCUGUCUCAAAAGACUUGGGAUAAGAGUGAAGAAAGCAAGUUUCCCUCUGCCAUUAGUUGAAUGCUCCUUAAGCGGCUCAACCACAGAACUCCAGUACCUUGCCUCUGACAGCUUGCCAUGAAGCAUUUGAGCUAAAUGAGUCUUCAUAAAAGCAACUCCAUCCAUGUUGUCUGACACAGCAGGCAACAGAUGCUAUAUUGUGCUAGAAGACAGCAUAUUCUUUGGAUUCCAAAACAAGUUAAAAAAUAUUAAACACUGCAUAAAUAA
Molecule: long non-coding RNA, 295 nt
Organism: Mastomys coucha (southern multimammate mouse)
Lineage: Eukaryota; Metazoa; Chordata; Mammalia; Rodentia; Muridae
Exons: 2
Source: RefSeq, a predicted model, not a curated record